This 385-nucleotide ribosomal RNA is filed under the name uncultured bacterium. RNAcentral's name for it is "bacterial SSU rRNA". It matches the Rfam family "Bacterial small subunit ribosomal RNA", at positions 29 to 415 of the family's 1533-position model. The record is from RNAcentral.
AUUGAACGCUGGCGGCAUGCUUUACACAUGCAAGUCGAACGGUAACAGGGAGCUUGCUCCGCUGACGAGUGGCGAACGGGUGAGUAAUGCAUCGGAACGUACCCAGUCGUGGGGGAUAACGUAGCGAAAGUUACGCUAAUACCGCAUACGUCCUGAGGGAGAAAGCGGGGGACCGUAAGGCCUCGCGCGAUUGGAGCGGCCGAUGUCGGAUUAGCUAGUUGGUAGGGUAAAGGCCUACCAAGGCGACGAUCCGUAGCGGGUCUGAGAGGAUGAUCCGCCACACUGGGACUGAGACACGGCCCAGACUCCUACGGGAGGCAGCAGUGGGGAAUUUUGGACAAUGGGCGCAAGCCUGAUCCAGCCAUGCCGCGUGAGUGAAGAAGGC